ACGGACGCUGGCGGCGUGCCUAAUACAUGCAAGUCGAACGGUCUUUCUAUGGAAGCUUGCUCCACUGAGAAGAUAGUGGCGAACGGGUGAGUAACACGUGGGUAACCUGCCCAUAAGAGGGGGAUAACAUCCGGAAACGGGUGCUAAUACCGCAUAGUUUUCUUGAUCGCAUGAUUGAGAAAGGAAAGACGGCCUUUGUGCUGUCGCUUAUGGAUGGACCCGCGGCGUAUUAGUUAGUUGGUGAGGUAACGGCUCACCAAGACGAUGAUACGUAGCCGACCUGAGAGGGUGAUCGGCCACAUUGGGACUGAGACACGGCCCAAACUCCUACGGGAGGCAGCAGUAGGGAAUCUUCCGCAAUGGACGAAAGUCUGACGGAGCAACGCCGCGUGAGUGAAGAAAAGGUUUUCGGAUCGUAAAACUCUGUUGUCAGAGAAGAACAAGUUGGAGAGUAACUGCUCCAGCCUUGACGGUAUCUGACCAGAAAGCCACGGCUAACUACGUGCCAGCCGCGGC
Molecule: ribosomal RNA, 516 nt
Filed under: uncultured bacterium
Lineage: Bacteria
Description: bacterial SSU rRNA
Rfam family: Bacterial small subunit ribosomal RNA
Source: RNAcentral